UUGAUGGGGCUUCCUGGUUGAGAAAUAUCUCCUGCAAAGAAAGUUUUUGGACUUUUAGACCGUGUGCGAAGCCCAACGGGCCAGCUUUAUGGGUCAAAAGAAUUCCUACCCCAUUUCAGGGUUUGUGAGAACCCAUAGCUAAGGUUAUGGCCGGUUUGGAGAACCUCCAAAUCCCACCUUUGGCUGGCCCCGCCCACCCUGCCUCCCACUCUCACACCCUCCCAGGAGUCUACACAUGGCCCAUUUUGGAUGUGAGGGAAUGCUGAAGUAGGCCACCAGGAUGGAGUCUGGCAUCAAAGGCUUCCUACAGUUUUAAGAGGAUUGUACAGUCAGAAGGUCCAUCCUCAUCCACAGUUUGGUUUAACUUACUUUUUAAUCUAAUCAAAUUGCCAAUAUUCCCGGCUUUGUUGCUAGUUGCUAAUAUAAAUGUUUCUUUACAUUUGCUUCCUGCCAGACUCCCAUGAGCAUUGCUUGCGUGGAAGAUGAUGGAGUGGAGUCUUACUGCUUUGGGGUUUUCAGAGUUGGGAGAUGCAACUACUUUCUUUCUCCAUGAAAUGUUCUGACUACAAUCUCCAUUUGGAAACUAAGCUGGAGUUUUGAACUUAAAUGACUAAAGAACUGGCCUAAUGUUUA
Molecule: long non-coding RNA, 633 nt
Organism: Thamnophis elegans (Western terrestrial garter snake)
Lineage: Eukaryota; Metazoa; Chordata; Lepidosauria; Squamata; Natricidae
Exons: 2
Source: RefSeq, a predicted model, not a curated record